RNAcentral lists this ribosomal RNA (490 nucleotides) under uncultured bacterium. Its description in RNAcentral is "bacterial SSU rRNA". It matches the Rfam family "Bacterial small subunit ribosomal RNA", at positions 28 to 509 of the family's 1533-position model. The record is from RNAcentral.
GACGAACGCUGGCGGCGUGGAUUAGGCAUGCAAGUCGAACGGUAGGAUCCUUUCGGGGAUCUGAGAGUGGCGAACGGGUGAGUAACACGUAGGUGAUCUACCCUCAAGACGGGGACAACCCAGGGAAACUUGGGCUAAUACCGGAUGUGAGCUAUCGUGAGAUAGUUUGAAAGGUGGCUUCGGCUGCCGCUUGAGGAUGAGCCUGCGUCCUAUUAGCUAGUUGGUGAGGUAACGGCUCACCGAGGCAGUGAUAGGUAGGCGGCCUUAACGGGUGGUCGCCCACACUGGGAUUGAGAUACGGCCCAGACUCCUACGGGAGGCAGCAGUCGAGAAUAGUCUACAAUGGUCGAAAGACUGAUAGUGCGACGCCGCGUGAACGAAGAAGCCCUUCGGGGUGUAAAGUUCUUUUAUAUGUGAGCAGUGACAUCUAUAUUAAUAGUAUGGGUGUAGAGAUAUUAGCAUAUGAAUAAGCAACGGCUAACUCCGUGCC